GAUGAAGAACGUAGGGAAAUGCGAUACGUAAUGUGAAUUGCAGAAUUCAGUGAAUCAUCGAGUCUUUGAACGCACAUUGCGCCCCCUGGUAUUCCGGGGGGCAUGCCUGUCCGAGCGUCAUUGCUGCCCUCAAGCACGGCUUGUGUGUUGGGCCUCCGUCCUCCUCCCGGGGGACGGGCCCGAAAGGCAGCGGCGGCACCGCGUCCGGUCCUCGAGCGUAUGGGGCUUCGUCACCCGCUCUUGUAGGCCCGGCCGGCGCUUGCCGACACAUCAAUCUUUUUUCCAGGUUGACCUCGGAUCAGGUAGGGAUACCCGCUGAACUUAAGCAUAUCAAUAAGCGGAGGA
RNAcentral lists this unclassified non-coding RNA (345 nucleotides) under soil metagenome. RNAcentral's name for it is "partial contains 5.8S ribosomal RNA, internal transcribed spacer 2, and large subunit ribosomal RNA". The stretch from base 1 to 120 matches the Rfam family "5.8S ribosomal RNA", at positions 35 to 154 of the family's 154-position model. The record is from RNAcentral.